AUCACAGCUGAGGCCUCAACAGCUUGUUCCCAUUUUCCACUGUCUGUGGACUUCAUCCGUUCACUCCACGACUGUGAGUGGAACUGUUUGCUGGUGUCUGUCUCCUGAAGAUCGUGGCUUCUCUCCAACAAACUUACUUUACCUUCUGCAUGCAGUAACUUGACUGUGGUAGGACAUUGUUGGUCUAAGCCAUUUGCAGCUUGCAGAAAUGUCUGACAGGAACCUGCAUAAGAACUCCUGAGAGAUGUGUAAAUGAUGUGAAGCGUCUCCCUGUGGUCAGCCCACAGGGCCAGUUGUGUAACUCGCAUGUUUAUUCCCACCGCUGCUUUGUGAAUGUAUUUAAAAAAAUAAAUAAAUAAAUAAAACACACCUUUUUUGAAAUAGCCUCGAUACAAGAGUGUGUUGAAGGGCUCCGCGUACUGACUGUCUCCUACCUUGUUUAUGCUGAAGAUCAGUACAUCGGCGCCCCUUGAACUCUUAAAAUGAAAAGGUUUUCAAAGACUCAUGAAUUGCACAGUAAAGUUCAGGCGAACGGGGUCCUUGUAUCAGCGCCCCCCCCCUCCUUUAUUUUUUUUUUAUUUUUGCUGUGUCUGUAAACCUUUUAUCUGCAGAUUCACAAGUGUAUCAUUAACUGGCUGGUUCCUCCAUCAUAUUAUCACACUGGUAGAGUGCUCUGAAUAGAUUAUUCAUAGUGCCUGAUAACUGUGUGGGAUGUCUGUGUAGGAGUGGGGGCAGAGGCAGGAUCUGCAGAUCUACUGUAGCUCGACAACCACCAGCAGCUGACGCCUUUAUCACAUUUGUUACAGGGGCCUUUGGCGGAACCAUCGUCAACUUCAAAGAAGUAAAAACGAUCCGAGUUCUUGCUGCCUGUCCAAAUCCUUAUGACAUUAGUUUAGUUUAGCCUUUUUUAGAAUUAUGGUCGUAAAUAAAGAUGAAUAAUUAAAAUGCAGUCAAUCCUGUUUGUGGCUGGAGCCAGUACCAGCUGUCACUGGGUGAGAGGCUGGACACCUUUUAUCACGUUGACAGGCAGCAGUUAACUUGACCACACACAUCUCUCUGCUAUUUUUUUUUUUCUUCACAUAAUGAUGUGAUUUUUGUGUCUCGUUUCCGUUUCACGACGCUGCUUCCAGUUGAUUUUAUUGCACCCCUGCGCCAUGAAUAAGCCUCAUGUAGUCGACUGUAAUUCAACCGAGCGCUUUCCCCUUCAACAUACAGUGCGCGCCCGCGGCGCUGCUCAUUAGCAUUCAUGAGGCUUUUUUUCAAGGGGCCGGGGGACUCGAAUGAGAUGUAAUCAUGUUUUAAAUUAACACAACAAAACUUUUAAAUACGGCGCUCAUCAAGGGUCAAACGGAGACGAAGCAGCCAGGUAGAACGAAGCAGGUGGCGGCGGGAAGGCCGCGGCGCCGAGCCGAUCCGAGCCGGGCCGGGCCGCGCGGCGGGAAUG
Betta splendens (Siamese fighting fish) is the source of this 1444-nucleotide long non-coding RNA. RefSeq lists it as uncharacterized. The transcript is spliced from 3 exons. NCBI's taxonomy places the organism in Eukaryota, Metazoa, Chordata, Actinopteri, Anabantiformes, Osphronemidae. The record is from RefSeq and is a predicted model, not a curated record.